GGGCCUUUAGCUCAAUUGGCAGAGCAGCGGACUUUUAAUCCGCGGGUUGUGGGUUCGAGUCCCACAGGGCCCACUA
Molecule: transfer RNA, 76 nt
Filed under: Aeromicrobium sp. A1-2
Lineage: Bacteria; Bacillati; Actinomycetota; Actinomycetes; Propionibacteriales; Nocardioidaceae
Description: tRNA-Lys
Rfam family: tRNA
About the family: Transfer RNA (tRNA) molecules are approximately 80 nucleotides in length. Their secondary structure includes four short double-helical elements and three loops (D, anti-codon, and T loops).
Source: RNAcentral